CUAUAGGAAUUAUUUGGGAUUGGUUAGGAUUUGGUUUAUGAUUUAAUUUAGGGUUUUGGAUUGAUUUAAGGUUUGAUUAGGAUUAGGAUUUUUUUAGGAUUUGAUUAAGAUUUGAUUAAGAUUUGAUUAGGAUUUGUUUAGGAUUUGAUUAGGAUUUGAUUAGGAUUUGAUUAAGAUUUGACAAGAUUUAUUUAAGGUUUGUCUAGGAUUUGAGAAGGAUUUGACCAAGGUUUGACUAAGAUUUGAUUAAGAUUUGAUUAUAUUUUGACUACAAUUUAAUUAA
This 283-nucleotide long non-coding RNA is filed under the name Physcomitrium patens. RNAcentral's name for it is "long non-coding RNA (PPAT_LNC007941)". Lineage: Eukaryota; Viridiplantae; Streptophyta; Bryopsida; Funariales; Funariaceae. The record is from RNAcentral.